This 66-nucleotide transfer RNA is filed under the name Neobenedenia melleni. Its description in RNAcentral is "tRNA-Asn". Lineage: Eukaryota; Metazoa; Platyhelminthes; Monogenea; Capsalidea; Capsalidae. The record is from RNAcentral.
GUCCGUAUAGAUUAUAUUAAAUCGCAAAGCUGUUAACUUUGAGAAGUUAUUUAAAUACUGUGGUCG